AUUGAACGCUGGCGGCAUGCUUUACACAUGCAAGUCGAACGGUAACAGGGUGCUUGCACCGCUGACGAGUGGCGAACGGGUGAGUAAUGCGUCGGAACGUGCCGAGUAGUGGGGGAUAACGCAGCGAAAGUUGUGCUAAUACCGCAUACGUACUGAGGUAGAAAGUGGGGGACCUUCGGGCCUCACGCUAUUCGAGCGGCCGACGUCUGAUUAGCUAGUAGGUGAGGUAAAGGCUCACCUAGGCGACGAUCAGUAGCGGGUCUGAGAGGAUGAUCCGCCACACUGGGACUGAGACACGGCCCAGACUCCUACGGGAGGCAGCAGUGGGGAAUUUUGGACAAUGGGCGAAAGCCUGAUCCAGCCAUGCUGCGUGUCUGAAGAAGGCCUUCGGGUUGUAAAGGACUUUUGUCAGGGAGGAAAUCCCUAGUGCUAAUAACACUGGGGGAAGACAGUACCUGAAGAAUAAGCACCGGCUAACUACGUGCCAGCCGCCGCAGUAA
RNAcentral lists this ribosomal RNA (500 nucleotides) under uncultured bacterium. RNAcentral describes it as "partial 16S ribosomal RNA". It matches the Rfam family "Bacterial small subunit ribosomal RNA", at positions 30 to 523 of the family's 1533-position model. The record is from RNAcentral.